RNAcentral lists this ribosomal RNA (459 nucleotides) under uncultured bacterium. RNAcentral's name for it is "partial 16S ribosomal RNA". It matches the Rfam family "Bacterial small subunit ribosomal RNA", at positions 338 to 795 of the family's 1533-position model. The record is from RNAcentral.
CCUACGGGUGGCAGCAGUGAGGAAUAUUGGUCAAUGGGCGCGAGCCUGAACCAGCCAAGUCGCGUGAGGGAAGACGGUCCUAUGGAUUGUAAACCUCUUUUGUCGGGGAGCAAAAGACGCCACGCGUGUCGUUCCGAGCGUACCCGAAGAAAAAGCAUCGGCUAACUCCGUGCCAGCUGCCGCGGUAAUACGGAGGAUGCGAGCGUUAUCCGGAUUUAUUGGGUUUAAAGGGUGCGCAGGCGGAAGAUCAAGUCAGCGGUAAAAUUGAGAGGCUCAACCUCUUCGGGCCGUUGAAACUGGUUUUCUGGAGUGAGCGAGAAGUAGGCGGAAUGCGUGGUGUAGCGGUGAAAUGCAUAGAUAUCACGCAGAACUCCGAUUGCGAAGGCAGCAUACCGGCGCGCAACUGACGCUCAUGCACGAAAGUGUGGGUAUCGAACAGGAUUAGAUACCCCAGUAGUC